RNAcentral lists this ribosomal RNA (1428 nucleotides) under Klebsiella aerogenes. RNAcentral's name for it is "bacterial SSU rRNA". It matches the Rfam family "Bacterial small subunit ribosomal RNA". The record is from RNAcentral. Lineage: Bacteria; Pseudomonadati; Pseudomonadota; Gammaproteobacteria; Enterobacterales; Enterobacteriaceae.
CGCAGCUACACAUGCAGUCGAGCGGUAGCACAGAGAGCUUGCUCUCGGGUGACGAGCGGCGGACGGGUGAGUAAUGUCUGGGAAACUGCCUGAUGGAGGGGGAUAACUACUGGAAACGGUAGCUAAUACCGCAUAACGUCGCAAGACCAAAGUGGGGGACCUUCGGGCCUCAUGCCAUCAGAUGUGCCCAGAUGGGAUUAGCUAGUAGGUGGGGUAAUGGCUCACCUAGGCGACGAUCCCUAGCUGGUCUGAGAGGAUGACCAGCCACACUGGAACUGAGACACGGUCCAGACUCCUACGGGAGGCAGCAGUGGGGAAUAUUGCACAAUGGGCGCAAGCCUGAUGCAGCCAUGCCGCGUGUAUGAAGAAGGCCUUCGGGUUGUAAAGUACUUUCAGCGAGGAGGAAGGCGUUAAGGUUAAUAACCUUGGCGAUUGACGUUACUCGCAGAAGAAGCACCGGCUAACUCCGUGCCAGCAGCCGCGGUAAUACGGAGGGUGCAAGCGUUAAUCGGAAUUACUGGGCGUAAAGCGCACGCAGGCGGUCUGUCAAGUCGGAUGUGAAAUCCCCGGGCUCAACCUGGGAACUGCAUUCGAAACUGGCAGGCUAGAGUCUUGUAGAGGGGGGUAGAAUUCCAGGUGUAGCGGUGAAAUGCGUAGAGAUCUGGAGGAAUACCGGUGGCGAAGGCGGCCCCCUGGACAAAGACUGACGCUCAGGUGCGAAAGCGUGGGGAGCAAACAGGAUUAGAUACCCUGGUAGUCCACGCCGUAAACGAUGUCGACUUGGAGGUUGUGCCCUUGAGGCGUGGCUUCCGGAGCUAACGCGUUAAGUCGACCGCCUGGGGAGUACGGCCGCAAGGUUAAAACUCAAAUGAAUUGACGGGGGCCCGCACAAGCGGUGGAGCAUGUGGUUUAAUUCGAUGCAACGCGAAGAACCUUACCUACUCUUGACAUCCAGAGAACUUAGCAGAGAUGCUUUGGUGCCUUCGGGAACUCUGAGACAGGUGCUGCAUGGCUGUCGUCAGCUCGUGUUGUGAAAUGUUGGGUUAAGUCCCGCAACGAGCGCAACCCUUAUCCUUUGUUGCCAGCGGUCCGGCCGGGAACUCAAAGGAGACUGCCAGUGAUAAACUGGAGGAAGGUGGGGAUGACGUCAAGUCAUCAUGGCCCUUACGAGUAGGGCUACACACGUGCUACAAUGGCAUAUACAAAGAGAAGCGACCUCGCGAGAGCAAGCGGACCUCAUAAAGUAUGUCGUAGUCCGGAUUGGAGUCUGCAACUCGACUCCAUGAAGUCGGAAUCGCUAGUAAUCGUAGAUCAGAAUGCUACGGUGAAUACGUUCCCGGGCCUUGUACACACCGCCCGUCACACCAUGGGAGUGGGUUGCAAAAGAAGUAGGUAGCUUAACCUUCGGGAGGGCGCUACCACUUUGGA